UCAGCCAAAUUAGGUGACCGCGAAAGGCUCAUUAAAUCAGUUAUGGUUCCUUAGAUCGUACCCACAUUUACUUGGAUAACUGUGGUAAUUCUAGAGCUAAUACAUGCAAACAGAGCUCCGACCGGAGACGGAAGGAGCGCUUUUAUUAGAUCAAAACCAAUCGGUGGCGGGUUCGCUCGUCAUCGUACAUUUUGGUGACUCUGAAUAACUUUUUGCUGAUCGCACGGUCUAGCACCGGCGACGCAUCUUUCAAAUGUCUGCCUUAUCAACUGUCGAUGGUAGGUUCUGCGCCUACCAUGGUUGUAACGGGUAACGGGGAAUCAGGGUUCGAUUCCGGAGAGGGAGCCUGAGAAACGGCUACCACAUCCAAGGAAGGCAGCAGGCGCGCAAAUUACCCACUCCCGGCACGGGGAGGUAGUGACGAAAAAUAACGAUACGGGACUCAUCCGAGGCCCCGUAAUCGGAAUGAGUACACUCUAAACCCUUUAACGAGGAUCAAUUGGAGGGCAAGUCUGGUGCCAGCAGCCGCGGUAAUUCCAGCUCCAAUAGCGUAUAUUAAAGUUGUUGCGGUUAAAAAGCUCGUAGUCGAAUCUGUGUCCCGCGCCGUCGGUUCAUCGCUCGCGGUGUUUAACUGACGUGUCGUGGGACGUCCUGCCGGUGGGCUUAGCUCGUUCGCGGGCGGCCCAACUUGAAAUCCCACCGCGGUGCUCUUCAUUGAGUGUCGAGGUGGGCCGGCACGUUUACUUUGAACAAAUUAGAGUGCUUAAAGCAGGCUAAAAUUUCGCCUGAAUAUUCUGUGCAUGGAAUAAUGGAAUAGGACCUCGGUUCUAUUUUGUUGGUUUUCGGAACCCCGAGGUAAUGAUUAAUAGGAACGGAUGGGGGCAUUCGUAUUGCGACGUUAGAGGUGAAAUUCUUGGAUCGUCGCAAGACGGACAGAAGCGAAAGCAUUUGCCAAAAACGCUUUCAUUGAUCAAGAACGAAAGUUAGAGGUUCGAAGGCGAUCAGAUACCGCCCUAGUUCUAACCAUAAACGAUGCCAGCUAGCGAUCCGCCGACGUUCCUCCGAUGACUCGGCGGGCAGCUUCCGGGAAACCAAAGCUUUUGGGUUCCGGGGGAAGUAUGGUUGCAAAGCUGAAACUUAAAGGAAUUGACGGAAGGGCACCACCAGGAGUGGAGCCUGCGGCUUAAUUUGACUCAACACGGGAAACCUCACCAGGCCCGGACACCGGAAGGAUUGACAGAUUGAGAGCUCUUUCUUGAUUCGGUGGGUGGUGGUGCAUGGCCGUUCUUAGUUGGUGGAGCGAUUUGUCUGGUUAAUUCCGAUAACGAACGAGACUCUAGCCUGCUAACUAGGCGUAUUUUCGACAUCCUAAAGGCCCGCCGGCCCGGCGUUCGCGUCGCGGUCGUGCGCGGUUUUUACUGUCGGCGUACAAACAAUUCUUCUUAGAGGGACAGGCGGCUUCUAGCCGCACGAGAUUGAGCAAUAACAGGUCUGUGAUGCCCUUAGAUGUUCUGGGCCGCACGCGCGCUACACUGAAGGAAUCAGCGUGUCCUCCCUGGCCGAGAGGCCCGGGUAACCCGCUGAACCUCCUUCGUGCUAGGGAUUGGGGCUUGCAAUUGUUCCCCAUGAACGAGGAAUUCCCAGUAAGCGCGAGUCAUAAGCUCGCGUUGAUUACGUCCCUGCCCUUUGUACACACCGCCCGUCGCUACUACCGAUUGAAUGAUUUAGUGAGGUCUUCGGACCGGUACGCGGCGGCGCUCCCGCGUCGCCGAUGUUGCUGGAAAGAUGACCAAACUUGAUCAUUUAGAGGAAG
This 1813-nucleotide ribosomal RNA is filed under the name Sternolophus rufipes. RNAcentral describes it as "SSU rRNA". It matches the Rfam family "Eukaryotic small subunit ribosomal RNA". Lineage: Eukaryota; Metazoa; Arthropoda; Insecta; Coleoptera; Hydrophilidae. The record is from RNAcentral.